RNAcentral lists this transfer RNA (72 nucleotides) under Camelus bactrianus (Bactrian camel). It matches the Rfam family "tRNA". From Rfam's summary of the family: Transfer RNA (tRNA) molecules are approximately 80 nucleotides in length. The record is from Rfam by way of RNAcentral. RNAcentral also lists the same sequence under 2 other names. Lineage: Eukaryota; Metazoa; Chordata; Mammalia; Artiodactyla; Camelidae.
GAGGGUACAGCUCAGUGGUAGAGCGCAUGCCCAGCACGCCUGACGUUCUGGGUUCAAUCCCCAGUACCUCCA